CAGUCGCCGCGGGAAUACGAAGGGGGCUAGCGUUGUUCGGAUUUACUGGGCUUAAAGGGCGCGUAGGCGGGCGAUUAAGUCAGAGGUGAAAUCCCAAGGCUCAACCUUGGAACUGCCUUUGAUACUGGUUGUCUUGAGUCCGGGAGAGGUGAGUGGAACUGCGAGUGUAGAGGUGAAAUUCGUAGAUAUUCGCAAGAACACCAGUGGCGAAGGCGGCUCACUGGCCCAUAACUGACGCUGAGGCACGAAAGCGUGGGGAGCAAACAGGAUUAGAUACCCCUGUAGUCCCUGUCUCUUAUAC
Molecule: ribosomal RNA, 301 nt
Filed under: uncultured bacterium
Lineage: Bacteria
Description: partial 16S ribosomal RNA
Rfam family: Bacterial small subunit ribosomal RNA
Source: RNAcentral